ACGAACGCUGGCGGCUGCUUAACACAUGCAAGUCGAACGGAGUGGCGAACGGGUGAGUAACGCGUGAGCAACCUGCCUAUGACAGUGGGAUAGCCUCGGGAAACCGGGAUUAAUACCGCAUAGUCAUAGAUGGGCUCGCGUCCUAUCAGCUUGUUGGUGGGGUAGUGGCCUACCAAGGCGACGACGGGUAGCCGGCCUGAGAGGGCGACCGGCCACAUUGGGACUGAGAUACGGCCCAAACUCCUACGGGAGGCAGCAGUGGGGAAUAUUGCACAAUGGGGGAAACCCUGAUGCAGCAACGCCGCGUGCGGGAUGACGGCCUUCGGGUUGUAAACCGCUUUCAGCCAUGACGCGGUAGUGGCAGAAGAAGCACCGGCUAACUACGUGCCAGCAGCCGCGGUAAUUC
RNAcentral lists this ribosomal RNA (406 nucleotides) under uncultured bacterium. Its description in RNAcentral is "partial 16S ribosomal RNA". It matches the Rfam family "Bacterial small subunit ribosomal RNA", at positions 29 to 526 of the family's 1533-position model. The record is from RNAcentral.